This is a long non-coding RNA of Polypterus senegalus (gray bichir), 782 nucleotides long. RefSeq lists it as uncharacterized. The record is from RefSeq and is a predicted model, not a curated record. NCBI's taxonomy places the organism in Eukaryota, Metazoa, Chordata, Cladistia, Polypteriformes, Polypteridae. The transcript has 3 exons.
AAUAGCCGCCCGGCCGAGCCCGUGUGCGCAGCGGUGACGACUCUUCUGCUCUUGCGUGUUUUCAAUCUCCUCCACGCGGACUGAAGAGAAUCACAGAGGAGGCUUCUAUCCCGGGGCCAGCUCAAGCUCCGCUUCCUUCCUUCAUCCUUCCCCCUCCUCCUCCUCCUCUUCGCUACCGGCCCACUUCGGCGACAGCGCGUGCGCGUACUCGAUGAGCAAAAGGACUAGACGUGCGCGCACCCGCAAGCGGGCGCUACACACCCAGUUCUGAAAACGAACUACGUUAAAGAAAAUAUGAAUUCCAAACUGGGUAGCUUGAAAUAAUAAUGCUGGUUAGUGAAGCUGCCUCAGAGCUCCAUAGUCCUGGAUCUGAAUUCUGGCCCAGGCGAUAGCAGACUAAAGAAGGAAAAGUAACCCAACAAACUUACCUCACACACUUCUGGGUUCACAAGAUGGCCGCCCAACAUCACUUCCUCAUCUGGCUCCCAAUGAUGACAUCACAUCCUGGCUCCUGUUGAUGACGUCACUUCUGACUCCAUCUUGAUUAGUCCCGUUCAGUCUCCUGAAGAUGAUAUCACUUCCGCCAUAUCAUCAGUUCCAGUCUCCUCUUGAUGACGUCACAUUCGUCUCGUAGUUAUGACGUCAUCUCCAGCCACAUCAUUUUCCGCCAGCCAUUUUAUUCCUUUAUAAAAACGCCAUGUCUGUAGUCUUCUGUGUCAAUUGCUGUCUUAAGUACAUUGAUUGCUAUUUUUCAUUCAUUCCUUUACUUUGUCUGUUGGACA